CUGCUCCCUGCGAGAGACCUUCUGCAACAGAAGUAGAAAGCAGUAAAAACACAAUUAGCAGCGCUCAGUCUCCUUGUUAUGCUGUUUUCAUAGCUGGGCUGAUUUUGACGUUUCGUUCGAGAGAGAUAAAAAGUGGUCCUGUUACAAUUAAGUGCGAUGUGCUGACAUGGUUCCAAGGCUACUCCUUUCCUAUUUGUCUGUUCACGAGCUCCAACAAAAUUUGCUCCGUUUAUGCAAGUCACCGAACUCUCGGGGAGGUAUCUCCCAGACCUUGGCCUACGCUGAUGAUACGGACAGGACUAGGGACAGGACUCUCUAACUGCUGACCAUUAUCAAUGAAUGGAGUGCUUCCUUUAUUUGGCGUAACGUCCUACGCGGACAUACCACAUGCCGCCGGCCUAAUACAGGCUUUGGAGAGUGAGUUCAUUACCACGCAGCCGAUUAAAAUCAGUCCUUGCAACGGAGGUGAACGUGGUCCAUUCUAGACUUGAACCCAUGACGGGCAUGUUAUUGAGUCGUUCGAGUAGACGACUGUACCACGGGACCACCGCUUUGAAACGCAGAUUAACAAAAACAAAAACGGAUGCAAAGGCAUGCAGCGAAUAGGAAUCGUAAGACCCCAAGCGAUCUAUUCCAUAAUAUCUUUCUAUGGUCACAUGUCACCCGAAAUCAAAGAUAAGUAUGGCGUAGUCUUAAUAAAUUACUUUAAUUUUAAUUGAGUACA
Anopheles coluzzii is the source of this 724-nucleotide long non-coding RNA. RefSeq lists it as uncharacterized. The record is from RefSeq and is a predicted model, not a curated record. Lineage: Eukaryota; Metazoa; Arthropoda; Insecta; Diptera; Culicidae. The transcript has 4 exons.